This 369-nucleotide ribosomal RNA is filed under the name uncultured Pelotomaculum sp. RNAcentral describes it as "bacterial SSU rRNA". It matches the Rfam family "Bacterial small subunit ribosomal RNA", at positions 1011 to 1382 of the family's 1533-position model. The record is from RNAcentral. Lineage: Bacteria; Bacillati; Bacillota; Clostridia; Eubacteriales; Desulfotomaculaceae.
UUUUCACCCUCGGGUGACAGGGAGACAGGUGGUGCAUGGUUGUCGUCAGCUCGUGUCGUGAGAUGUUGGGUUAAGUCCCGCAACGAGCGCAACCCCUACGUUAGUUGCUAACAGGUGAAGCUGAGCACUCUAGACGAACUGCCGUUGACAAACGGAGGAAGUGGGAUGACGUCAAAUCAUCAUGCCCCUUAUGUUCUGGGCUACACACGUGCUACAAUGGCCGGUACAGACGGAGGCGAAGCCGCGAGGCGGAGCAAAACCGAAAAAGCCGGUCUCAGUUCGGAUUGCAGGCUGCAAUUCGCCUGCAUGAAGUCGGAAUCGCUAGUAAUCGUAGAUCAGCAUGCUACGGUGAAUACGUUCCCGGGCCUU